CCUACGGGAGGCUGCAGUGGGGAAUAUUGGACAAUGGGGGCAACCCUGAUCCAGCCAUGCCGCGUGUGUGAAGAAGGCCCUCGGGUUGUAAAGCACUUUCAGUGAGGAAGAACGCCUGGUGGUUAAUACCCAUCAGGAAAGACAUCACUCACAGAAGAAGCACCGGCUAACUCCGUGCCAGCAGCCGCGGUAAUACGGAGGGUGCGGGCGUUAAUCGGAAUUACUGGGCGUAAAGCGCGCGUAGGUGGCUUGAUAAGCCGGUUGUGAAAGCCCCGGGCUCAACCUGGGAACGGCAUCCGGAACUGUCAAGCUAGAGUGCAGGAGAGGAAGGUAGAAUUCCCGGUGUAGCGGUGAAAUGCGUAGAGAUCGGGAGGAAUACCAGUGGCGAAGGCGGCCUUCUGGACUGACACUGACACUGAGGUGCGAAAGCGUGGGUAGCAAACAGGAUUAGAUACCCCAGUAGUC
RNAcentral lists this ribosomal RNA (465 nucleotides) under Vreelandella stevensii. Its description in RNAcentral is "partial 16S ribosomal RNA". It matches the Rfam family "Bacterial small subunit ribosomal RNA", at positions 338 to 795 of the family's 1533-position model. Lineage: Bacteria; Pseudomonadati; Pseudomonadota; Gammaproteobacteria; Oceanospirillales; Halomonadaceae. The record is from RNAcentral.